CAGCCCUAUAGGAGACACCUCCAGAGAAAGUAACAACUCUCAGUUGAUUAGCUGAGGUAUGUAUGUCAUUUAUGGCAAUACCUGUCUCCAUCCCCUCCGUCUUCUUCUAGGAGACCAAUUUUGUAAAUUGCUACUUUUCUAACAACAGUGGCACAGGUGGCCCAGCAUUCUCCCUUUUCUCAGAGCUGGUUUUCCAUCCUGGAAAGAGGUCUUACAUAUACAAAGUUACUCUAAUCAGUUGUAAUAAACAGAUGCUUUUACAGCUCGCAUUGGUGGGAAGAUCUGGCACAAAUGAAGUAUCUAUAAGGAGCAGCAGAGUCAAGGUGGUGAUCCUGUGGAAGAAUAACUGAAACCUGAUAUACUUGACAGCAGAAAAUAUAAAGCAAAUCGAAAAGGAGAGAGUGUGGAGAUAAAUAAGGAAAUGAAAGAACUGAUGAAGUCACUUGGAUUAAAAAACCUGGGAGUAAGGGCUUUGUUUAUGAUUGAACUUAAGAGAGAAUUGAAGGACCACCUACCUUUGAUGUUAACAAGAAAGUAAAGAGGAAACAUAUUUAGAGAUA
RNAcentral lists this long non-coding RNA (560 nucleotides) under Pongo abelii (Sumatran orangutan). RNAcentral's name for it is "lincRNA". The record is from RNAcentral. Lineage: Eukaryota; Metazoa; Chordata; Mammalia; Primates; Hominidae.